Molecule: ribosomal RNA, 274 nt
Filed under: uncultured bacterium
Lineage: Bacteria
Description: partial 16S ribosomal RNA
Rfam family: Bacterial small subunit ribosomal RNA
Source: RNAcentral
CUCCGGAGGGUGCAAGCGUUACUCGGAAUCACUGGGCGUAAAGCGCGCGCAGGCGGCUAUUUAAGUUGGAUGUGAAAGCCUACGGCUCAACCGUAGAACUGCAUCCAAAACUAUUUAGCUAGAGUGUGGGAGAGGAAGAUGGAAUUAGUUGUGUAGGGGUAAAAUCCGUAGAGAUAACUAGGAAUACCAAAAGCGAAGGCAAUCUUCUGGAACACUACUGACGCUGAGGCGCGAAAGCGUGGGGAGCAAACGGGAUUAGAAACCCUAGUAGUCC